RNAcentral lists this ribosomal RNA (292 nucleotides) under uncultured bacterium. Its description in RNAcentral is "partial 16S ribosomal RNA". It matches the Rfam family "Bacterial small subunit ribosomal RNA", at positions 505 to 796 of the family's 1533-position model. The record is from RNAcentral.
GUGCCAGCAGCCGCGGUAAUACAGAGGGUGCAAGCGUUAAUCGGAAUUACUGGGCGUAAAGCGCACGUAGGUGGCAUAUUAAGUUGUCUGUGAAAGCCCCGGGCUCAACCUGGGAGGGUCAGGCAAUACUGGCAAGCUAGAGUACUUUAGAGGGUAGUGGAAUUUCUGGUGUAGCGGUGAAAUGCGUAGAGAUCAGAAAGAACACCUGUGGCGAAGGCGGCUACCUGGAAGGAUACUGACACUGAGGUGCGAAAGCGUGGGGAGCAAACAGGAUUAGAUACCCCAGUAGUCC